GCUGGGACUGUAGCUCAGUGGUAGAGCACUUGCCUGGCAUGAUUGAGACCCUGGGAUAAAUCCCUAGCACAGCA
Molecule: transfer RNA, 74 nt
Filed under: Marmota monax (woodchuck)
Lineage: Eukaryota; Metazoa; Chordata; Mammalia; Rodentia; Sciuridae
Description: tRNA.Ala
Source: RNAcentral